GCUGACGGGAGUGCAACUGACGCUGAAGCUCGAAAGUGCGGGUAUCGAACAGGAUUAGAUACCCUGGUAGUCCGCACGGUAAACGAUGGAUGCCCGCUAUUCGCUCGAAUGAGUGAGUGGCCAAGCGAAAGCAUUAAGCAUCCCACCUGGGGAGUACGCCGGCAACGGUGAAACUCAAAGGAAUUGACGGGGGCCCGCACAAGCGGAGGAACAUGUGGUUUAAUUCGAUGAUACGCGAGGAACCUUACCCGGGCUUGAAUUGCAGAUGAACGAUCCAGAGAUGGUGAGGCCCUUCGGGGCAUCUGUGAAGGUGCUGCAUGGUUGUCGUCAGCUCGUGCCGUGAGGUGUCGGCUUAAGUGCCAUAACGAGCGCAACCCCUGUUCUUAGUUGCCAUCAGGUAAUGCUGGGCACUCUGGGAAUACUGCCACCGUAAGGUGUGAGGAAGGUGGGGAUGACGUCAAAUCAGCACGGCCCUUACGUCCGGGGCUACACACGUGUUACAAUGGCCGGUACAGAGAGUUGGUCGUGCGCAAGUACGGUCUAAUCCAUAAAACCGGUCUCAGUUCGGACUGGGGUCUGCAACCCGACCCCACGAAGCUGG
RNAcentral lists this ribosomal RNA (601 nucleotides) under uncultured bacterium. RNAcentral describes it as "bacterial SSU rRNA". It matches the Rfam family "Bacterial small subunit ribosomal RNA", at positions 724 to 1329 of the family's 1533-position model. The record is from RNAcentral.